GAUGAACGCUGGCGGCGUGCUUAACACAUGCAAGUCGAACGGUGAAGCGCCGCUUGCUGGGUGGGUUGGUGGCGAACGGGUAAGUAACACGUGAGAAACGUGCCAUUUACUCUGGGCUACGGCUUGACCACUGGAUCUAAUGCCGGAUAGGAGCGCCUACGGGUUUGUGGGCGUUGGGAUGUGUGAUCGGUAUUGGUUGGGCUGGCGGCCUAUCAGCGUGUUGGUGGGGUGAUGGCUCAGCAAGGCGACGCCGGGUAGCCGGCCUGAGAGGGUGAUCGGCCACGCUGGGACUGAGACACGGCCCAGACUCCGACGGGAGUGAGCAGUGGGGAAUAGUGCACAAUGGCCGAGAGGCUGAUGCAGCGACGCCGCGUGAGGGAUGACGGCCUUCGGGUUGUAAACCUCUUUCAGUAGGUAAGAAGCGAAAGUGACGGUACCUGCAGAAGAAGCACCGGCUAACUACGUG
Molecule: ribosomal RNA, 466 nt
Filed under: uncultured bacterium
Lineage: Bacteria
Description: partial 16S ribosomal RNA
Rfam family: Bacterial small subunit ribosomal RNA
Source: RNAcentral